GGGGGGGCGAGUGUCUGUGGGGGGGGAGCGUCUGUGGGGUGGGGGGGUGUGUUUCACUCCACCCUUGUACUUGAUUUGAUGAAUUUAAAGUCACUAAUUAGUUAGGAACUAACCUGAAUGUAGACGUGGUGAAAGAUGGAGACUUCACCCAGAAAACCUGGAAUAUUAGACUGAUGAGGACCACAGGGUUUAAAGAUGGAGACUCAUCCUUCAUCACCGCGGUAACCGACCUGGUGUCAUUCUGCAUCUUUAAUCACUGAAACCCGAAACCAACAUCUGGGUUGAGUCACUCUGUUAAUAUAUCUGUCCUAGUUGAGUCACUCUGUUAGUACAUCUGUCCUAGUUGAGUCACACUGUUAGUACAUCUGUCCUAGUUGAGUCACUCUGUUAGUAUAUCUGUCCUAGUUGAGUCACUCUGUUAGUAUAUCUGUCCUAGUUGAGUCACUCUGUUAGUACAUCUGUCCUAGUUGGGUCACUCUGUUAGUAUAUCUGUCCUAGUUGAGUCACUCUGUUAGAACAUCUGUCCUAGUUGAGUCACUCUGUUAGUAUAUCUGUCCUAGUUGAGUCACUCUGUUAGUAUAUCUGUCCUAGUUUGGUCACUGUGUUAGUAUAUCUGUCCUAGUUGGGUCACUCUGUUAGUGAUGUUGUCAUGACUACCAGUCACACCUGUUAUUUCAUAACUUUCUUGUUCAGCUUUUAACCACCAUUGUAUAAUAAACUAUCUCACGGUUUCCUAACUUGUCCUUGUAAAGUUUGUGACCGUCUUUGAUGAUAUGAAAAAUGGGUUGUCUGUGUCUGUAUGGCCCAGAGCUUCUGACUGUGCAGGCUUUUGUCCCAGCCCAGCACUAACACAUCUGAUUUCAAAUACAAUGGCCUAAAUACCAACCAUCUCUCCAGGACUGUGGAGUUACCAGACACCAUCUCUCUCCAGGACUGUGGAGUUACCAGACACCAUCUCUCUCCAGGACUGUGGAGUUACCAGACACCAUCUCUCUCCAGGACUGUGGAGUUACCAGACACCAUCUCUCUCCAGGACUGUGGAGUUACCAGACACCAUCUCUCUCCAGGACUGUGGAGUUACCAGACACCAUCUCUCUCCAGGACUGUGGAGUUACCAGACACCAUCUCUCUCCAGGACUGUGGAGUUACCAGACACCAUCUCUCUCCAGGACUGUGGAGUUACCAGACCCAUCUCUCCAGGACUGUGGAGUUACCAGACACCAUCUCUCUCCAGGACUGUGGAGUUACCAGACACCAUCUCUCUCCAGGACUGUGGAGUUACCAGACCCAUCUCUCCAGGACUGUGGAGUUACCAGACACCAUCUCCAGGACUGUGGAGUUACCAGACCCUCUGAAUAGA
RNAcentral lists this long non-coding RNA (1360 nucleotides) under Salmo salar (Atlantic salmon). Its description in RNAcentral is "lncRNA (ENSSSAG00000097637.1)". The record is from RNAcentral. Lineage: Eukaryota; Metazoa; Chordata; Actinopteri; Salmoniformes; Salmonidae.